CCUACGGGCGGCAGCAGUGGGGAAUAUUGCACAAUGGGGGAAACCCUGAUGCAGCGACGCCGCGUGCGUGAAGAAGUAAUUCGUUAUGUAAAGCUCUAUCAGCAGGGAAGAAAAUGACGGUACCUGAGUCAGAAUCCCCGGCUAACUACGUGCCAGCAGCCGCGGUAAUACGUAGGGGGCCAGCGUUAUCCGGAUUUACUGGGGGUAAUGGGAGCGUAGACGGCAGUACAAGCGUGCAGUGAAAGGCGGGGGCUCAACCCCCGGACUGCACGGGAAACGGGAGGGCUGGAGUGCAGGAGAGGUAAGUGGAAGUCCUAGUGUAGCGGUGAAAUGCGUAGAUAUUAGGAGGAACUCCAGUGGCGAAGGCGGCUUACUGGACUGUAACUGACGUUGAGGCUCGAAAGCGUGGGGAGCAAACAGGAUUAGAUACCCGAGUAGUC
This 440-nucleotide ribosomal RNA is filed under the name uncultured bacterium. RNAcentral's name for it is "partial 16S ribosomal RNA". It matches the Rfam family "Bacterial small subunit ribosomal RNA", at positions 338 to 795 of the family's 1533-position model. The record is from RNAcentral.